Molecule: non-coding RNA, 352 nt
Filed under: Laurencieae sp.
Lineage: Eukaryota; Rhodophyta; Florideophyceae; Ceramiales; Rhodomelaceae
Source: RNAcentral
GGGACUGAUUUGGUUUCUACGUAUUGAAUUUUUUUUAUGGGUUAGAAUUGACUGAAGUAUUUUGCUACUCUAAAUGAUUUAAUUUGUAAAAGCAAAAAAUAAUAUUUUAGUUUUCUCUAAAAACUUGGUUAAAGUUUAAGUUUUUAGGGGAUUGAAUUAUAUUUUCCUGUAUAAUUUGAUUUAUUUAUUGGAAUACUCUUAUUAUAGAUUAUAGUAAUAACUAUUUAACUGUUUAAUUUUAAUAAGUAAUGUACUAAACAAAUCUAGCACUGUUAAAUAAAAAAAGCCGAUUCAUAUAAUAACUUAAUAUUUUACAUCAAUACGGACGUGGGUUCGAGUCCCACCAGUUCCA